RNAcentral lists this ribosomal RNA (254 nucleotides) under uncultured bacterium. RNAcentral's name for it is "partial 16S ribosomal RNA". It matches the Rfam family "Bacterial small subunit ribosomal RNA", at positions 524 to 776 of the family's 1533-position model. The record is from RNAcentral.
UACGGGGGGAGCAAGCGUUGUUCGGAUUUACUGGGCGUAAAGGGCGCGUAGGCGGUCAGCACAAGUCAGUUGUGAAAUCUCCGGGCUUAACUCGGAAAGGUCAACUGAUACUGUGCGACUAGAGUGCAGAAGGGGCAACUGGAAUUCUCGGUGUAGCGGUGAAAUGCGUAGAUAUCGGAAGGAACAUCAGUGGCGAAAGCGGCUUCCUGGUCCAGCAUCGACGUUCAGGCACGAAAGCGUGGGGAGCAAACAGG